UNUGACUUGAGUGCAGAAGGGGAGAGUGGAAUUCCAUGUGUAGCGGUGAAAUGCGUAGAUAUAUGGAGGAACACCAGUGGCGAAAGCGGCUCUCUGGUCUGUCACUGACGCUGAGGCUCGAAAGCGUGGGUAGCGAACAGGAUUAGAUACCCUGGUAGUNCACGCCGUAAACGAUGAGUGCUAGGUGUUAGGCCCUUUCCGGGGCUUAGCGCCGGAGCUAACGCAAUAAGCACUCCGCCUGGGGAGUACGACCGCAAGGUUGAAACUCAAAGGAAUUGACGGGGGCCCGCACAAGCGGUGGAGCAUGUGGUUUAAUUCGAAGCAACGCGAAGAACCUUACCAGGUCUUGACAUCCCGAUGCUAUUCUUAGAGAUAGGAAGUUACUUCGGUACAUCGGAGACAGGUGGUGCAUGGUUGUCGUCAGCUCGUGUCGUGAGAUGUUGGGUUAAGUCCCGCAACGAGCGCAACCCUUAUUGUUAGUUGCCAUCAUUAAGUUGGGCACUCUAGCGAGACUGCCGGUAAUAAACCGGAGGAAGGUGGGGAUGACGUCAAAUCAUCAUGCCCCUUAUGACCUGGGCUACACACGUGCUACAAUGGUCGGUACAACGAGUUGCGAGCCGGUGACGGCAAGCUAAUCUCUGAAAGCCGAUCUCAGUUCGGAUUGGAGGCUGCAACUCGCCUCCAUGAAGUCGGAAUCGCUAGUAAUCGCGGAUCAGCACGCCGCGGUGAAUACGUUCCCGGGCCUUGUACACACCGCCCGUCACACCACGAGAGUUUGUAACACCCGAAGUCGGUGAGGUAACCUUUUAGGGGCC
This 815-nucleotide ribosomal RNA is filed under the name uncultured bacterium. RNAcentral describes it as "bacterial SSU rRNA". It matches the Rfam family "Bacterial small subunit ribosomal RNA", at positions 636 to 1450 of the family's 1533-position model. The record is from RNAcentral.